AUUGAACGCUGGCGGCAGGCCUAACACAUGCAAGUCGAGCGGAUGAAGGGAGCUUGCUCCUGGAUUCAGCGGCGGACGGGUGAGUAAUGCCUAGGAAUCUGCCUGGUAGUGGGGGAUAACGUCCGGAAACGGGCGCUAAUACCGCAUACGUCCUGAGGGAGAAAGUGGGGGAUCUCCGGACCUCACGCUAUCAGAUGAGCCUAGGUCGGAUUAGCUAGUUGGUGGGGUAAAGGCCUACCAAGGCGACGAUCCGUAACUGGUCUGAGAGGAUGAUCAGUCACACUGGAACUGAGACACGGUCCAGACUCCUACGGGAGGCAGCAGUGGGGAAUAUUGGACAAUGGGCGAAAGCCUGAUCCAGCCAUGCCGCGUGUGUGAAGAAGGUCUUCGGAUUGUAAAGCACUUUAAGUUGGGAGGAAGGGCAGUAAGUUAAUACCUUGCUGUUUUGACGUUACCAACAGAAUAAGCACCGGCUAACUUCGUG
Molecule: ribosomal RNA, 484 nt
Filed under: uncultured bacterium
Lineage: Bacteria
Description: partial 16S ribosomal RNA
Rfam family: Bacterial small subunit ribosomal RNA
Source: RNAcentral